This 74-nucleotide microRNA precursor is filed under the name Bombyx mori (domestic silkworm). Its description in RNAcentral is "mir-2807 microRNA precursor family". It matches the Rfam family "mir-2807 microRNA precursor family". Lineage: Eukaryota; Metazoa; Arthropoda; Insecta; Lepidoptera; Bombycidae. The record is from Rfam by way of RNAcentral.
CUAACUCAAAUUUGUGUAGAGUUGGAACGUUUGCCGAUAGGAGCGCUGUUCCAAUUGCAUGCAAAUUUGAGUUA